This 277-nucleotide ribosomal RNA is filed under the name uncultured bacterium. Its description in RNAcentral is "partial 16S ribosomal RNA". It matches the Rfam family "Bacterial small subunit ribosomal RNA", at positions 28 to 310 of the family's 1533-position model. The record is from RNAcentral.
GACGAACGCUGGCGGCGUGCCUAACACAUGCAAGUCGAACGGGGGGUAGCAAUACCUCAGUGGCGAACGGGUGCGUAACACGUGAAGAAUUUGUCCAACGGCGGGGGGAUAGCCGGCCCAACGGCCGGGUAAUACCGCGUACGACCUUUGGGGGGGCAUCCCCUGGAGGUGAAAGCCGCAAGGCGCCGAUGGAGAACUUCGCGGCCUAUCAGCUAGUUGGUGAGGUCAUGGCUCACCAAGGCGACGACGGGAGCUGGUCCGAGAGGAUGACCAGCCA